Molecule: ribosomal RNA, 253 nt
Filed under: uncultured bacterium
Lineage: Bacteria
Description: partial 16S ribosomal RNA
Rfam family: Bacterial small subunit ribosomal RNA
Source: RNAcentral
UACGUAGGGGGCAAGCGUUGUCCGGAUUUAUUGGGCGUAAAGAGCGUGUAGGCGGCUUUACAGGUCCGUUGUGAAAACUCGAGGCUCAACCUCGAGACGCCGGUGGAAACCGUAAGGCUAGAGUCCGGAAGAGGAGAGUGGAAUUCCUGGUGUAGCGGUGAAAUGCGCAGAUAUCAGGAGGAACACCCGUGGCGAAAGCGGCUCUCUGGACGGUGACUGACGCUGAGACGCGAAAGCGUGGGGAGCAAACAGG